Molecule: ribosomal RNA, 412 nt
Filed under: uncultured Brevundimonas sp.
Lineage: Bacteria; Pseudomonadati; Pseudomonadota; Alphaproteobacteria; Caulobacterales; Caulobacteraceae
Description: bacterial SSU rRNA
Rfam family: Bacterial small subunit ribosomal RNA
Source: RNAcentral
UCUAGAGAUUUGGCGGACGGGUGAGUAACACGUGGAACGUGCCUUUUGGUUCGGAAUAACUCAGGGAAACUUGUGCUAAUACCGAAUGUGCCCUUCGGGGGAAAGAUUUACCGCCAUUAGAGCGGCCCGCGUCUGAUUAGCUAGUUGGUGAGGUAAAAGCUCACCAAGGCGACGAUCAGUAGCUGGUCUGAGAGGAUGACCAGCCACACUGGGACUGAGACACGGCCCAGACUCCUACGGGAGGCAGCAGUGGGGAAUCUUGCGCAAUGGGCGAAAGCCUGACGCAGCCAUGCCGCGUGAAUGAUGAAGGUCUUAGGAUUGUAAAAUUCUUUCACCGGGGACGAUAAUGACGGUACCCGGAGAAGAAGCCCCGGCUAACUUCGUGCCAGCAGCCGCGGUAAUAAUCGUCGAC